Molecule: ribosomal RNA, 497 nt
Filed under: uncultured bacterium
Lineage: Bacteria
Description: partial 16S ribosomal RNA
Rfam family: Bacterial small subunit ribosomal RNA
Source: RNAcentral
GAUGAACGCUGGCGGCGUGCUUAACACAUGCAAGUCGAACGAAGCAUUUACGACAGAUUUCUUCGGAUUGAAGUUGUUUAUGACUGAGUGGCGGACGGGUGAGUAACGCGUGGGUAACCUGCCUUGUACUGGGGGAUAGCAGCUGGAAACGGCUGGUAAUACCGCAUAAGCGCACAAUGUUGCAUGACAUGGUGUGAAAAACUCCGGUGGUAUAAGAUGGACCCGCGUCUGAUUAGCUAGUUGGUGGGAUAACAGCCCACCAAGGCGACGAGCAGUAGCCGACCUGAGAGGAGGACCGGCCACAUUGGGACUGAGACACGGCCCAGACUCCUACGGGAGGGAGCAGUGGGGAAUAUUGCACAAUGGAGGAAACUCUGAUGCAGCGACGCCGCGUGAGUGAAGAAGUAAUUCGUUAUGUAAAGCUCUAUCAGCAGGGAAGAUAGUGACGGUACCUGACUAAGAAGCUCCGGCUAAAUACGUGCCAGCCGCCGCGGUAA